Molecule: long non-coding RNA, 2383 nt
Organism: Macaca mulatta (Rhesus monkey)
Lineage: Eukaryota; Metazoa; Chordata; Mammalia; Primates; Cercopithecidae
Source: Ensembl
UGAAGCAACAGAGACGAAUUCUUCCUGUCCUGGAACGCAGAGCCCCCAGAGCAAGGCGUCAGCAGGGCGGCCCCCUCCCGAGGACUCUCCUUGGCAUGUAGAUGGCCGUGUGCUCCCUGUGUCCUCACGAAGUCGUCCUUUUGUGUGUGUCUGUGUCCCAAUCUCCUAUAAUAAUGACCCCAGCAGGUUGGAAGAGGGCCCACCUUCUGGCCUCAUUGUAACUUAAUUACAUUUUAGGAAGCCCUAUCCCCACACACAGUCUCAUUCUAAAAUACUAGGGGUUAGAACUUCACCCUAGGACUUCCGGAGGACGCUGCUCAACUCAUAACAGUCUUCCUGCUUGGACAGAUAGACGGACCCUUGGACCACAGAUCCCUGGGCCCUGGGAGCACCUGAGCCUCUUCGUGGUGAGAGACAGCAGCCCAACCUGGGGGCAAGGUGGGAACAGGCCCUUUCCACACCUUGUUUCCGUGGACACGACACAGGCUCGCAUGAAAUCCUCAGGGAAGCCCUUUGCUCAGAAGCAGCACCAUGUCAGGGUACUGAGAACUUGGAUUUUUUUCUUCUUCCAUGUCCUCUCUCCAAAGCACUCCAUCUUGCUCACGCGUGCUCUUCCUCACAGCCAGGUCCUCAGAUCCGAUGAUAGCUGUCACCACUCCCAGCGUGUCAGGGAAGGAGCGAGCAUUACAGGGCCCUGUCUUCUCCAGCCCUCCUGCCUGCCGAUCCACCAGCCUCUGCGGCUGCCUCCAGGGCCGCCCAUCGAUCCUGCCCGCUCUCAUUUUCCAAAUGAUGUCCUGGAGGCUUUUGGCCUUUCCAAGCCAGCUCUGGGCCUCGGGGCAGCCUCCACCAGGGCAGGGAGGGGCAGCUGAGCCGCACACAGGAAGAAGCUGAUGCCCUGUCUCUCCAACCUGCUCCUCGUGUGGCUGGGGAAACAGGCUCUGUGAGGAGCAGGGCUUUCCUUCCCUCUCUCAGGAGCCUGAGUCCUGCUCUCUCAUCUACCUCAAGCUGCUGCACGUCCCGGGCCUGGGUUUGGGGCUGGACUCCACCCACAACCUGCCCUGACCUGCAGGGUGGGAUCCACAGCCGAUGCUCCAUGGCCGCUGCUCCCAUACAUUUAGUCCUAGAAGAAGAGGACCAGGCACUCAUUCAGCACCUGCUGUGCUCCCCUCGCUGCCCACGUUUCACACUUAUUCAGGCUCAUGCUGACCCUGAAAGCUCCAGAGGAGUCAGGCCACUUGCCUAAGGCCACACAGCUCAUAAUGGCCAGGGCAUUGGCUCGGUCAGGAGCCUGGACACUCCUCUUCUAGGACUUCCAACAAGGUGGCUGGUCAGAGGUCUUGGCCCAGGUGCGAUGUGCUGAGAAAGCAGGAAGCCACCUCUGGUGUCUGCUUCUGGGCUUGCAGAGAUGGGCAUAGGUCUGGCCUUCAGGCUGCUGAGGAAUGAACUGGAGGCCACAAGCACAGCAUCUAGGACAAAACUGGAAGGAUGGCCAGGUGGGCUGUGCAGAUCUCCGGGGCUGCUGGGCCAAUGGGACCUGGCUGUCAGAAAGUGGGGCCCAGCCUUUGGAAGGGGGCCUGUCCUGCGGCUGGAUGAAAACACAUGUCGGGGCAGACCGGAGGUCUCAGCUGAUGGGCGAAGGGGGAGCCGGGCUGCUUGAGGACUGUGUAAGCCCUCUCUCUCCCCCUGGGGCUGCCCGAGUCUGGGUGAGCUGCCCACCCUGGCCUGGCUGAGGCCCUUAGUUGUGUGAGUGGCAGAACCUACCUGCAGGGUGGCUGGCAUGGAAAGGGCAGGACGGGCUCCUGGAUCUGAAGCCAGAGGCUGGACAGGUGGCCUGCCCAAGUGGCACAGGGCUACAUGCUGCCCGGUGGGCACAGCCAUGUCAGGUCACUGCCCACACCCCUCCUUCGUGGCACUUGGGGAAGGGCGGCUGCUGGCCAGUCUCCAUCACCAUCCUCCCAGUUAGUAGCACCCCACGGGGCCAGCACUGUUCCCAUCUCAAGGAAACCUGAUUGGGUGAGCUUAUGCCUGGCACCCCUCAGAACAAAUCCCAGGGAGGCUGGGGAGGCAUCAUGGGCCCAGCCUGUGCCAGACACCACCAUGUGUCAGAGCCGGGUGUGAGAGCAGUGCCUGCGGGAGGCCACAGUCCUGGAAAAGAGACAAAAGGAAGGUGAGUUCCCUGUGCCCAGCCCUCCGAGGGACGCUGCCUGCACUGGUUUCUCCUGCACUUGGACCUAUGGGGCAGGAGACUAGAGAUGCCCUGUCUCCUGCCACCUCCCGCCACUGCAGGCCACCAGAAGUCCCCUCACCACCGAGGGCUGGGAGCGGAGCCAGCAGCCCACAGUGGUCUGACCAGGGCAUCCAGGACAGGGCACCUCUCCCCGUG